UACAUUUAUUGUGUGACAUUUCCUAGAGA
RNAcentral lists this non-coding RNA (29 nucleotides) under Rattus norvegicus (Norway rat). The record is from RNAcentral. Lineage: Eukaryota; Metazoa; Chordata; Mammalia; Rodentia; Muridae.